GACGAACGCUGGCGGCGUGCCUAAUACAUGCAAGUAGAACGCUGAAGGAGGAGCUUGCUUCUCUGGAUGAGUUGCGAACGGGUGAGUAACGCGUAGGUAACCUGCCUGGUAGCGGGGGAUAACUAUUGGAAACGAUAGCUAAUACCGCAUAAGAGUAGAUGUUGCAUGACAUUUGCUUAAAAGGUGCAAUUGCAUCACUACCAGAUGGACCUGCGUUGUAUUAGCUAGUUGGUGGGGUAACGGCUCACCAAGGCGACGAUACAUAGCCGACCUGAGAGGGUGAUCGGCCACACUGGGACUGGGACACGGCCCAGACUCCUUCGGGAGGCAGCAGUAGGGAAUCUUCGGCAAUGGACGGAAGUCUGACCGAGCAACGCCGCGUGAGUGAAGAAGGUUUUCGGAUCGUAAAGCUCUGUUGUAAGAGAAGAACGAGUGUGAGAGUGGAAAGUUCACACUGUGACGGUAUCUUACCAGAAAGGGACGGCUAACUACGUG
This 495-nucleotide ribosomal RNA is filed under the name uncultured bacterium. RNAcentral's name for it is "partial 16S ribosomal RNA". It matches the Rfam family "Bacterial small subunit ribosomal RNA", at positions 28 to 507 of the family's 1533-position model. The record is from RNAcentral.